RNAcentral lists this ribosomal RNA (469 nucleotides) under uncultured bacterium. RNAcentral describes it as "bacterial SSU rRNA". It matches the Rfam family "Bacterial small subunit ribosomal RNA", at positions 28 to 524 of the family's 1533-position model. The record is from RNAcentral.
GAUGAACGCUGGCGGCGUGCCUAACACAUGCAAGUCGAGCGAUUCUCUUCGGAGAAGAGCGGCGGACGGGUGAGUAACGCGUGGGUAACCUGCCCUGUACACACGGAUAACAUACCGAAAGGUAUGCUAAUACGAGAUAAUAUACUUUUAUCGCAUGGUAGAAGUAUCAAAGCUCCGGCGGUACAGGAUGGACCCGCGUCUGAUUAGCUAGUUGGUAAGGUAACGGCUUACCAAGGCGACGAUCAGUAGCCGACCUGAGAGGGUGAUCGGCCACAUUGGAACUGAGACACGGUCCAAACUCCUACGGGAGGCAGCAGUGGGGAAUAUUGCACAAUGGGCGAAAGCCUGAUGCAGCAACGCCGCGUGAGCGAUGAAGGCCUUCGGUCGUAAAGCUCUGUCCUCAAGGAAGAGUAAUGACGGUACUUGAGGAGGAAGCCCCGGCUAACUACGUGCCAGCAGCCGCGGUAAU